UACAGAGGUCUCAAGCGUUGUUCGGAUUCAUUGGGCGUAAAGGGUGCGUAGGUGGCGCCGUAAGUCAGGUGUGAAAUUUCGGAGCUUAACUCCGAAACUGCAUUUGAUACUGCGGUGCUUGAGGACUGGAGAGGAGACUGGAAUUUACGGUGUAGCAGUGAAAUGCGUAGAGAUCGUAAGGAAGACCAGUGGCGAAGGCGGCUACCUGGACAAUUGCUGACGCUCAGGCACGAAAGCGUGGGGAGCAAAAGGG
Molecule: ribosomal RNA, 253 nt
Filed under: uncultured bacterium
Lineage: Bacteria
Description: partial 16S ribosomal RNA
Rfam family: Bacterial small subunit ribosomal RNA
Source: RNAcentral